RNAcentral lists this ribosomal RNA (400 nucleotides) under uncultured bacterium. RNAcentral describes it as "bacterial SSU rRNA". It matches the Rfam family "Bacterial small subunit ribosomal RNA", at positions 355 to 772 of the family's 1533-position model. The record is from RNAcentral.
UGGGGAAUAUUGGACAAUGGGCGAAAGCCUGAUCCAGCAACGCCGCGUGAGUGAAGAAGGCCUUCGGGUUGUAAAGCUCUUUUAGUGGAGAAGAUAAUGACGGUAUCCACAGAAAAAGCUCCGGCUAACUUCGUGCCAGCAGCCGCGGUAAUACGAAGGGAGCUAGCGUUACUCGGAAUUAUUGGGCGUAAAGCGUGCGUAGGCGGUUGUGUAAGUUGGGAGUGAAAGCCCAGGGCUUAACCUUGGAAUUGCUUUCAAAACUACACGACUAGAGUAUUGGAGAGGAUAGUGGAAUUCCUAGUGUAGAGGUGAAAUUCGUAGAUAUUAGGAGGAACACCAGAUGCGAAAGCGGCUAUCUGGCCAAAUACUGACGCUGUUGCACGAAAGCGUGGGGAGCAAA